This 180-nucleotide ribosomal RNA is filed under the name uncultured Glomeromycotina. Its description in RNAcentral is "partial small subunit ribosomal RNA". The stretch from base 54 to 180 matches the Rfam family "Eukaryotic small subunit ribosomal RNA", at positions 700 to 827 of the family's 1831-position model. The record is from RNAcentral. Lineage: Eukaryota; Fungi; Glomeromycota.
GGGUCAGUAGAUUGGUCGUGCCACUGGUAUGCACUGGUCUUACUGGCUCCUCCUUCCUGAUGAACCGUAAUGCCAUUAAUUUGGUGUUGCGGGGAGACUGGACUGUUACUUUGAAAAAAUUAGAGUGUUCAAAGCAGGCAUUUUCGCUUGAAUACAUUAGCAUGGAAUAAUGGAAUAGGA